UUCACAAAAAAACUGAGGGAGAAGCGCAAACCGCUUGAGUUACAAGCUAAAGAACAAAAGUCCUGGGGAAAUAACGUCAGCAUAGUCAUCUCCACACCCAGAAAGGUCCCUUCUGCUUUUCUCCCUUUGAAAUUUCAAAUUCCAGUUUGUGGACAAAGUCCUGUCUAUCUGAGAAUAUAGAUCUCCGACCACUGACCAAACUCCAUUCCAAGCAACUACCUAGUUAUGCUUUUUCCCUGCCUCGCAGUCUCUUCUGUUCACUCGCUGGAUCUGCUGGGAUCAUACUGAAACUCUCACCAGAACGGUUGCGCACAUACAAAGUGGAUUUCCACAUUUUUGUCUUAAUCUAACAGCUUCCUUUCGAAGUUGGGAAUGGGGAAGAAGAUGCUGAUCAUCUGUAAUAACCCAGGCUGACUGUAAAGUUAAAGACCUACUACCAGUACCUGGCGUCUCCUGGAGCAAGUUAUAGCUGCUGCCAUUCAUUUUCCAGAGGAUCCGUUGGGCCCCAGAAGAAGCUAGAGCAAUGUCACCCCCAGACAGGGAUUUCUACCCAGCAAGUACCACAAGGGCUGUGAACAAGGAGCCAUGUUCAGCGCAAGUAACCGGGAAGCCAGCCGGAAUAAGGGCUGCAGGGAUAAGCUAAUCUCUUAAUGCUGGUCACAAUGAGAUUUGAUUGGAAGCCGGAGUUCAUACAAUGGAGUUACAGCUUUUAAAGAGUUCUGACAAAUGCUUGAACAUGAAUUAUAAGGUGGCCUGAGCUCUGCACCCUGCGACCAUGCCCCUAGGGGUGCCCUGUGCCUUCUGGGCCACCUUUUCAAAGUGUCCUAACCCUGGCCUCUGAUCUGGCACCCCCAUAUCUGCACACACACAGCUGCAGCUUUUGGGGGUGACAACUGCGUGUGCAAAUGCAGAGGCUGCUUUUGAAAACGUGUCAUGCUGAGUUUAGCAAAACGACUCGGUGUGAGUCCGUCUCUGCAAGGUAAGGAGGAAGCAAAAGGCCUUUAUAUGAAAAUGUUUCUGUACAAACAUCCAUAAUAAAAUACCUUGGUACA
Dermochelys coriacea (leatherback sea turtle) is the source of this 1052-nucleotide long non-coding RNA. RefSeq lists it as uncharacterized. The record is from RefSeq and is a predicted model, not a curated record. NCBI's taxonomy places the organism in Eukaryota, Metazoa, Chordata, Testudines, Dermochelyidae. The transcript is spliced from 2 exons.